GCCGCGUGUAUGAAGAAGGCCUUCGGGUUGUAAAGUACUUUCAGCAGUGAGGAAGGCGGAGUCGUUAAUAGCGGCCUCGUUUGACGUUAGCUGCAGAAGAAGCACCGGCUAACUCCGUGCCAGCAGCCGCGGUAAUACGGAGGGUGCGAGCGUUAAUCGGAAUUACUGGGCGUAAAGCGCAUGCAGGUGGUUUGUUAAGUCAGAUGUGAAAGCCCGGGGCUCAACCUCGGAAUUGCAUUUGAAACUGGCAGACUAGAGUACUGUAGAGGGGGUAGAAUUUCAGGUGUAGCGGUGAAAAUGCGUAGAGAUCUGAAGGAAUACCGGUGGCGAAGGCGGCCCCCCUGGACAGAUACUGACACUCAGAUGCGAAAGCGUGGGGAGCAAACAGGAUUAGAUACCCCUGGUAG
Molecule: ribosomal RNA, 407 nt
Filed under: uncultured bacterium
Lineage: Bacteria
Description: bacterial SSU rRNA
Rfam family: Bacterial small subunit ribosomal RNA
Source: RNAcentral